GAUGGAUUGGUGCCUUCGGGAACUGUGAGACAGGUGCUGCAUGGCUGUCGUCAGCUCGUGUUGUGAAAUGUUGGGUUAAGUCCCGCAACGAGCGCAACCCUUAUCCUUUGUUGCCAGCGGUCCGGCCGGGAACUCAAAGGAGACUGCCAGUGAUAAACUGGAGGAAGGUGGGGAUGACGUCAAGUCAUCAUGGCCCUUACGACCAGGGCUACACACGUGCUACAAUGGCAUAUACAAAGAGAAGCGACCUCGCGAGAGCAAGCGGACCUCAUAAAGUAUGUCGUAGUCCGGAUUGGAGUCUGCAACUCGACUCCAUGAAGUCGGAAUCGCUAGUAAUCGUAGAUCAGAAUGCUACGGUGAAUACGUUCCCGGGCCUUGUACACACCGCCCGUCACACCAUGGGAGUGGGUUGCAAAAGAAGUAGGUAGCUUAACCUUCGGGAGGGCGCUUACCACUUUGUGAUUCAUGACUGGGGUGAAGUCGUAACAAGGUAACCGUAGGGGAACCUGCGGUUGGAUCACCUCCUUA
Molecule: ribosomal RNA, 528 nt
Filed under: Klebsiella pneumoniae
Lineage: Bacteria; Pseudomonadati; Pseudomonadota; Gammaproteobacteria; Enterobacterales; Enterobacteriaceae
Description: bacterial SSU rRNA
Rfam family: Bacterial small subunit ribosomal RNA
Source: RNAcentral